UAUGUAGGGUGCAAGCGUUGUCCGGAAUUAUUGGGCGUAAAGAGCUUGUAGGCGGUUUGUCGCGUCUGCUGUGAAAACUCGGGGCUUAACUCCGGCCUGCAGUGGGUACGGGCAGACUAGAGUGCGGUAGGGGAGACUGGAAUUCCUGGUGUAGCGGUGAAAUGCGCAGAUAUCAGGAGGAACACCGGUGGCGAAGGCGGGUCUCUGGGCCGUAACUGACGCUGAGGAGCGAAAGCGUGGGGAGCGAACAGG
This 252-nucleotide ribosomal RNA is filed under the name uncultured bacterium. RNAcentral's name for it is "partial 16S ribosomal RNA". It matches the Rfam family "Bacterial small subunit ribosomal RNA", at positions 524 to 776 of the family's 1533-position model. The record is from RNAcentral.